RNAcentral lists this ribosomal RNA (429 nucleotides) under bacterium. RNAcentral's name for it is "partial 16S ribosomal RNA". It matches the Rfam family "Bacterial small subunit ribosomal RNA", at positions 355 to 776 of the family's 1533-position model. The record is from RNAcentral.
UAGGGAAUCUUCGGCAAUGGGGGCAACCCUGACCGAGCAACGCCGCGUGAGUGAAGAAGGUUUUCGGAUCGUAAAGCUCUGUUGUAAGAGAAGAACGUGUGUGAGAGUGGAAAGUUCACACAGUGACGGUAACUUACCAGAAAGGGACGGCUAACUACGUGCCAGCAGCCGCUGUAAUACGUAGGUCCCGAGCGUUGUCCGGAUUUAUUGGGCGUAAAGCGAGCGCAGGCGGUUUAAUAAGUCUGAAGUUAAAGGCAGUGGCUUAACCAUUGUUCGCUUUGGAAACUGUUAAACUUGAGUGAAGAAGGGGAGAGUGGAAUUCCAUGUGUAGCGGUGAAAUGCGUAGAUAUAUGGGGGAACACCGGUGGCGAAAGCGGCUAUCUGGUCUGUAACUGACGCUGAGGCUCGAAAGCGUGGGGAGCAAACAGG